UGGUUGAGUACCAAUUUUUCCUUCCUUAGUGCCAACUCUAUUCUUUAAUUUCAACCACGGUGGUUUGGUGUCCUCUUAUAUUGAUGAGACUGCUAAAGCUUGCAAGUCCAGCUCUCAUGGAGAAGCAACCGAAGUCUCAUUGAUAUUCUAUUAGCGACUUCUAGGCCACCUCGCGGCUGGCUACAAUAGAGAGGGACCCUCUGCUGACCAUUAGAGUAGAGAGGGAUGGG
Molecule: unclassified non-coding RNA, 230 nt
Filed under: Hevea brasiliensis (rubber tree)
Lineage: Eukaryota; Viridiplantae; Streptophyta; Magnoliopsida; Malpighiales; Euphorbiaceae
Source: RNAcentral